GGGCGUAUAGCUCAGUUGGUAGAGCACCUGCCUUACAAGCAGGAUGUCACAAGUUCGAGUCUUGUUGCGCCCA
Molecule: transfer RNA, 73 nt
Filed under: Candidatus Sericytochromatia bacterium
Lineage: Bacteria; Bacillati; Candidatus Sericytochromatia
Description: tRNA-Val
Rfam family: tRNA
About the family: Transfer RNA (tRNA) molecules are approximately 80 nucleotides in length. Their secondary structure includes four short double-helical elements and three loops (D, anti-codon, and T loops). Further hydrogen bonds mediate the characteristic L-shaped molecular structure. tRNAs have two regions of fundamental functional importance: the anti-codon, which is responsible for specific mRNA codon recognition, and the 3' end, to which the tRNAs corresponding amino acid is attached (by aminoacyl-tRNA synthetases). tRNAs cope with the degeneracy of the genetic code in two manners: having more than one tRNA (with a specific anti-codon) for a particular amino acid; and 'wobble' base-pairing, i.e. permitting non-standard base-pairing at the 3rd anti-codon position.
Source: RNAcentral